UUGGGCACUCUAGAGGGACUGCCGGUGAUAAGCCGAGAGGAAGGUGGGGAUGACGUCAAGUCCUCAUGGCCCUUACGGGCUGGGCUACACACGUGCUACAAUGGCGGUGACAAUGGGCAGCGAACCCGCGAGGGUGAGCUAAUCUCCAAAAGCCGUCUCAGUUCGGAUUGCACUCUGCAACUCGGGUGCAUGAAGUUGGAAUCGCUAGUAAUCGUGGAUCAGAACGCCACGGUGAAUACGUUCCCGGGCCUUGUACACACCGCCCGUCACACCAUGGGAGUUGGUUUUACCCGAAGGCGCUGCGCCAACCCGCAAGGGAAGCAGGCGACCACGGUAGGGUCAGCGACUGGGGUGAAGUCGUAACAAGGUAGCCGUAGGGGAACCUGCGGCUGGAUCACCUCCUUUCUAAG
This 410-nucleotide ribosomal RNA is filed under the name Rhizobium sp. G21. Its description in RNAcentral is "bacterial SSU rRNA". It matches the Rfam family "Bacterial small subunit ribosomal RNA", at positions 1131 to 1533 of the family's 1533-position model. Lineage: Bacteria; Pseudomonadati; Pseudomonadota; Alphaproteobacteria; Hyphomicrobiales; Rhizobiaceae. The record is from RNAcentral.